CUUUCCCAUGCCCCCACCACUCCCUCCCUCUCCCUUCACUUUGCCCCAAAGGUCUUAUUCUCUUUAACUCUGUCGCCCCUGUGAGCUCCCAGAGGCCCCGCCUGGAACUGAUGCUUUCCGGGCUGCUGGCUCGGCCCUCUGUGGAAACAGAAACCUCACUUCCCUGUUAACCCCAAGGGCGGGGCCUUGGACUUCAGGCAGCUGUUGAUUACGUGCAUAGCUGUGUUUGCCUUGUCCAAUGGCAAAAUUUUCCCUAUGUCUGAGAAAUUGGCUGUCAUGGCCUGGGAUUGAAUUCUCGGUAAUUUUUUCAUUAAAAUUAAUGAAAAUAUUUCUUCACUUAAUGGCUUUUCAUUUAGGGGCAGGACUUUCAGGGAUUAAUGGGCUUGCAGCUCGAGGACCAGGUGCUCACUCAGGCUUUAUUGAGCUCUCGCUGCCGCUCCCUGGAGGCAGCUCUGUCUCCAGCAGGCCCUCAUCUGACCGACCCCUGAUGUCAGGAGGGAAUCUGUGUUCUUCUGUCAGAAAAGAGAGUAUCAGGAGUGUACUUAUUGGCUCGAGUUGACGAAAAGCUUCAGGUACGGCUGGAUCCAGGUGUCUAGCUUCACUUUCAGCCAAGUCUUCCUUCUGUGAGCUGGAAAGCUGCUGCAGAGGACUGCCCUCUCCAACAUGUUGUGUAGAUGAACCUGAAGCCUGGUGUCCAUAUAGAGCCAAGAGUAAGGCUAACCUCGUGGAUUCGAUAUGCUGAGAAGAAAAGCCAGGGGGCUGGCUCCCACAGGAGGCCAGAAGGUGCUGGCAGCUUAUCUAGCUGUGAUAAUGAAGAGAAGGGGGCCACUAAUUCCUUCUUGCUUUAUUGAAUCCACCAAUCCCUCACAGCCUCGGGGGCUGAGAGCGGCUGAUUAAAAGACACUUCAGCACGCCAGUUAUUGCCAAUUAACAGACUGCAAUAUAAACAAUUAAUAGAGCCAUGGUGGGAGGUAGAGGGAGGGGUACUAUCUCCCACAGGGCACACAAACUUGCUCCUAGGACAGCCUGCAGGGUGGCGGUCAGAAGUAGUGGAUGACAGGGACAUAAAGGGUGAGAGCUGGAUGGGGGGACACCCAUCUGCAGGCCUGCAACAGGAGGGCUGUGCCUGUGCCCUUGAUGUCAGUGAGGAUUGCCCUUCCCCCCACUCACCCUUGGGCAGAUAGCAGCCACCCAAGCCUGGUGACUGUCCACUGAUCCGAGGCUCGGAGGCCAUCACCAGCCACCAUGCCUCUUAGGACAGACACUGCAGCUGUUUCCGUGCCAGGCUCCCCUCCCCACCUGCUGUGGCCUCCGCGACUUGUGGAGAGCACCUGCCGAGGACAACUCCCGGAGAGUGAAAAGCUUCACAGUGUCCCUCCACACGUCAGAUGCCACCAAGACCACUCUCCUGGAACCCUCAGGGACCUGAUCUGGAAGCAUGAUGUAGAGAGACACUCACGCUAGGAAGGGCUGAAGAAUAUUUCCCUAACCAGCAAGUAGAUGGUGACCUGCUCUUGACUCUAGAAACCUGAUCCAGAGGCCACCGUGCUCCAAGGCCAGGAGUCCUCAGCCUCAGUCUGGGAAGGAUCAGAGAGUGUCUGAGCCUGGCUCACUCCAGCCUGCACACUCUCAAACCUCGUGCUGCUAACAAUUGUGAGAGCAGCUGCAGUU
Molecule: non-coding RNA, 1671 nt
Organism: Myodes glareolus (Bank vole)
Lineage: Eukaryota; Metazoa; Chordata; Mammalia; Rodentia; Cricetidae
Source: RefSeq, a predicted model, not a curated record